UCUCUCUGUGUGCUCACGUUGUUAUGACUCUGAAAAAUACAAUGGAGGUAUACACUGCUAAUUUCAUGCUGAGGGCUGCAUUGUGGGGAAUUAAAAAAUAAAGGUGGGGGAACUUUGUGUUUGCUGUUGUGGCAGCACAUAACAGCAAGCAGAAUUCAGUUUGCUGGCUCGGCUGUCUCUUGUUUCCUGCCUUAAGAGAGUGAGCAGGGCACAGAACAAAGCCUGAGCUGAAUAUUGCAUGGGAAGAUCCGUUACUGCCAGCUGCCACUAUGAUGUCAUGAGAUGGUCAACAGGAUUUCGGGAAGAGAUGGGAGAAAAAACUCUGUGGCUUUGUCCUCCUCCCUCAGCUGACAGAAGCAAAAGGAGCAGAAUCUCCCAGUGCUGAAAUGGAGAAGACUUUGCUCUUAACACAGGAGACCGAGUCCAUGUCUGCUCUUUUUAAAAGCUUGGGAAAAUCAGAUGUAGUAUUUGUGUGACCUGAAGCUCACCCAUUUCUUCCAAAUGCAUGAGCUGAUGUAACAGAUGAUUUCUCCCUUCCUUUGCGCUGUGGAUGAAGUAGGUGAGUAUAUUCCCUCAGCCUUUGCAAGCACCUUGUUUGUAUCUGGGUCACUUGUGUACAGUGCAGAGGGUUGCUGAUAUGUGAUGGAGCAAAUUAUAAGUGAGAAUCACUCACUUCACUUUGAUUUUUGAUCUGAGAGAUUUGUAGAAAGAAGUACAACCUUGCAGACCCCCAGGAAAGAUCUGCUGUUGACUCCAAGAUUCUGGCUUCUGCCAUGAGAAUGGAAGGUUUCAGUGCCAUCUGCCACAGAGCAGACUUAUCCACACCUGCUGGCUGGCACCACUGUGUGAUCGUGAUGCACAGGUUCACAGAAAGGCUUGCAUGCAAAUCCAUACAGGAUUAGUGUUAAGUGAGAGACUUUUUCUGCAUCUGGAAGAUUAAAAUUCUCCUAAUCCUGCUGUGUUUGAGUUGUAAACCCUGAAGAGAAAAUUUUAAAUCAGUUCUAUGUCAUCUUCUUUAGACUCUCCCUUGCCACAGGUCAUUCCUGGGGGAGACUUAAAUGUGGUACUUCAGAGAAGAAGCUGCAAUGUCUCCAAAAGUGCU
RNAcentral lists this long non-coding RNA (1102 nucleotides) under Phasianus colchicus (ring-necked pheasant). RNAcentral's name for it is "lncRNA (ENSPCLG00000014638.1)". The record is from RNAcentral. Lineage: Eukaryota; Metazoa; Chordata; Aves; Galliformes; Phasianidae.